UUGGAGGGCAAGUCUGGUGCCAGCAGCCGCGGUAAUUCCAGCUCCAAUAGCGUAUAUUAAAGUUGUUGCAGUUAAAAAGCUCGUAGUUGAAUUUCGGGAUCAGCAGGUUGGUCGUGCCUCUGGUACGCACUGGUUUCGCUGAUUCCUCCUUUCUGAAGAACUGUAAUGUCAUUAAUUUGGUGUUGCAGGGAAACAGGACUGUUACUUUGAAAAAAUUAGAGUGUUUAAAGCAAGCUAACGCUUGAAUACAUUAGCAUGGAAUAAUGAAAUAGGACGUUUGAUCCUAUUUUGUUGGUUUCUAGGAUUGACGUAAUGAUUAAUAGGGAUAGUUGGGGGCAUUAGUAUUCAAUUGUCAGAGGUGAAAUUCUUGGAUUUAUUGAAGACUAACUACUGCGAAAGCAUUUGCCAAGGAUGUUUUCAUUAAUCAAGAACGAAAGUUAGGGGAUCGAAGACGAUCAGAUACCGUCGUAGUCUUAACCAUAAACUAUGCCGACUAGGGAUCGGAUGAUGUUAAUUUUUUAAUGACUCAUUCGGCGCCUUACGGGAAAC
This 549-nucleotide ribosomal RNA is filed under the name uncultured Glomeromycotina. Its description in RNAcentral is "SSU rRNA". It matches the Rfam family "Eukaryotic small subunit ribosomal RNA", at positions 548 to 1098 of the family's 1831-position model. The record is from RNAcentral. Lineage: Eukaryota; Fungi; Glomeromycota.